This 1004-nucleotide long non-coding RNA is filed under the name Pongo abelii (Sumatran orangutan). RNAcentral describes it as "lincRNA". The record is from RNAcentral. Lineage: Eukaryota; Metazoa; Chordata; Mammalia; Primates; Hominidae.
CUCAUCCUAGAGCCCCACUACUCAGAGGAGCUGGGAAGAAUUUCCACCCUUCCUAGUGGCAAGUCCCACUGUGAGAGCAGAGUGCCACCAGGCAAACAGGGCAUAAAGCCUGCUUUAAGGAGAAUCCUUAUACUGGGGGUUAUGAAGUGCAAUACACCUUCAUCCUCACGCUAACACUGGUACCAUGUAGCCCAAGCUUGUCUAACCUGCAGUCCGCAGGCUGUGUAUGGCCCAGGAUGGCUUUGAAUGUGGCCCAACGCAAAUUUGUAAACUUUCUUAAAACAUUAUCAGAUUUUUUUUUCUCAUCAGCUAUCAUUAGUGUUAGUGUAUGUUAUUUGUGACUCAAGACAAUUCUUCUUUUCCAAUGUGGCCCAGAGAAGCCAAAAGACUGGACACCCCUGAUGUGGCCCUUUCAUCCAUAGUAGCCUAUUUUGUCCUAAAGACGGUCUUGUGCAGUGAGAAGGCCAGGCCUCCCCACUACCACAGUUUACAGGCAAGGAAUGUGAUAUUUCAUAGGAUGACCCUGACUGGCACCUACAUUGCUAGCCAAAGAAUGGCACAAAGAUGUGGACAUAAGAGACAACCUUAAGCAGCUGACUGCUGGCUCCUGCAAGAGUGUCGUCAUGGCAUUUGUCCUGGGGUCCCAAGGAAAGAAAACAAAUCUGCAGCUAAGGAACAGGCUGAGUUGACAAAGCAGCUUCCACAGUAACACAAGAACAAAGGGUGUAUGUAGAUGUGCACGUGGUAGCAGGUUCUACUAAAGGAACCUGGACUGACCAUUCUCACUCACAUUCUUUGGGAGCUGUACUUUAAUACUUUCAGAAAAGCCAUGGGAACACACCAGAGUGACUGCUUGAGUAAAUAAGUAGCAUAAACAGCAAGUACACAUCACUGGGCCCAAUACUAUGAAAUCCCACAUGAGAAACUUGAAAGUGAAAGCUGGAAUUCUGAGGAUAUUGGUUUUGCUUAAUAAAAAGCAUUUCAACAGGUGAGUCAACUUAGUA